UAGGGAAUAUUGGACAAUGGGCGAAAGCCUGAUCCAGCCAUGCCGCGUGAUGGAUGAAGGCCCUCUGGGUUGUAAACAUCUUUUAUCAGGGAAGAAACACCUCGUUUCUACGAGGCUUGACGGUACCUGAUGAAUAAGCACCGGCUAACUCCGUGCCAGCAGCCGCGGUAAUACGGAGGGUGCAAGCGUUAUCCGGAUUUACUGGGUCUAAAGGGUGCGUAGGCGGGAAAAUAAGUCAGUGGUGAAAGCA
Molecule: ribosomal RNA, 250 nt
Filed under: uncultured bacterium
Lineage: Bacteria
Description: partial 16S ribosomal RNA
Rfam family: Bacterial small subunit ribosomal RNA
Source: RNAcentral